Molecule: long non-coding RNA, 698 nt
Organism: Helianthus annuus (common sunflower)
Lineage: Eukaryota; Viridiplantae; Streptophyta; Magnoliopsida; Asterales; Asteraceae
Exons: 3
Source: RefSeq, a predicted model, not a curated record
AGAUCAAUGGCAUUGCCACUCUAUAAAUACCCUCUUGCUUCACCAUUUCCAUAUCAUCCCCCAACACAACCACCUUCUGAAUGGAGGAGCAGACCAGCAAUCAUGAUCCACCUCCCUCGACUACCAUCUCGCUUCGAUCACAGUUGGAUAAUAAUUUUCUGACUUAUGAUAUCAUCACUUGCUGGCUGUUUAUAGAAUUUCGGUUUGCAUGGCAGGCUCUGAUUCAUGCUCACCGGAGAGACAUGAUUUAGCCCUAUCCAUAUCCCUAUUUCCUCUUCUUUUUUGCUUUUUUUCUCCUUUCCCUUCUCUGCUCCCUAUUUCCUCUUCUGUCUUGCUUUUUUUCUCCUUUUCCUCCUCUGCUUUCUUUUCUUCGUGUGUUUUUUUCUACCCCUCUUUGGAAUAUUAGUUAAUCUUUCCAAUAGUUUGACAAGAUCACCUUUCAUGAUAGUAACAUUCAGCAAAAAAGGGCAAGUUGAAGAAGUCAACAUUUGGUCAAUGGUUAAUGUCAUGAACUAGAAAAUAAGAGCAAGUUAAGAUGUAUACUUCAAACUGCUGCGAAACAUUGGUGAUUGGUCAAUGGUCAUUGCUUUGAUAAGCAGAAUUAUGUAAUUUGAUAAUUUUGUUUGGUUUUUUGUGAGAGAUUUGUUUAUUUGUGACAUGUAAAAAAAGUUUCUCAUAGACAUAUUUAUUUUGAUAUA